GUGAGGAAUAUUGCGCAAUGGAGGCAACUCUGACGCAGCCAUGCCGCGUGCAGGAAGAAGGCGCUACGCGUUGUAAACUGCUUUUAACCGGGAAGAAACCCCAGGACGUGUCCUGGGUUGACGGUACCGGAGGAAUAAGCACCGGCUAACUUCGUGCCAGCAGCCUCGGUAAUACGAAGGGUGCAAGCGUUAUCCGGAUUCAUUGGGUUUAAAGGGUGCGUAGGCGGAGCGUUAAGUCAGUGGUGAAAUCCUGCAGCUUAACUGUAGACUUGCCAUUGAUACUGGCGCUCUUGAGUGCGCUUGAAGUGGGCGGAAUGUGCCGUGUAGCGGUGAAAUGCUUAGAUAUGGCACAGAACACCAAUUGCGAAGGCAGCUCACUAAGGCGAUACUGACGCUGAGGCACGAAAGCGUGGGGAUCGAACAGGAUUAGAUACCCGGGUAGUCC
Molecule: ribosomal RNA, 445 nt
Filed under: uncultured bacterium
Lineage: Bacteria
Description: bacterial SSU rRNA
Rfam family: Bacterial small subunit ribosomal RNA
Source: RNAcentral